GAUGAACGCUGGCGGCGUGCUUAACACAUGCAAGUCGAACGGGAUCCCAGGAGCUUGCUCCUGGGUGAGAGUGGCGAACGGGUGAGUAAUGCGUGACCGACCUGCCCCAUACACCGGAAUAGCUCCUGGAAACGGGUGGUAAUGCCGGAUGCUCCAGUUGGAUGCAUGUCCUUCUGGGAAAGAUUCUAUCGGUAUGGGAUGGGGUCGCGUCCUAUCAGCUUGAUGGCGGGGUAACGGCCCACCAUGGCUUCGACGGGUAGCCGGCCUGAGAGGGCGACCGGCCACAUUGGGACUGAGAUACGGCCCAGACUCCUACGGGAGGCAGCAGUGGGGAAUAUUGCACAAUGGGCGCAAGCCUGAUGCAGCGACGCCGCGUGCGGGAUGACGGCCUUCGGGUUGUAAACCGCUUUUGACUGGGAGCAAGCCCUUCGGGGUGAGUGUACCUUUCGAAUAAGCACCGG
RNAcentral lists this ribosomal RNA (461 nucleotides) under uncultured bacterium. Its description in RNAcentral is "bacterial SSU rRNA". It matches the Rfam family "Bacterial small subunit ribosomal RNA", at positions 28 to 496 of the family's 1533-position model. The record is from RNAcentral.